Molecule: ribosomal RNA, 301 nt
Filed under: uncultured bacterium
Lineage: Bacteria
Description: partial 16S ribosomal RNA
Rfam family: Bacterial small subunit ribosomal RNA
Source: RNAcentral
CAGUAGCCGCGGUAAUACAGAGGAUGCAAGCGUUAUCCGGAAUGAUUGGGCGUAAAGCGUGCGUAGGUGGUUGUUUAAGUCUGUUGUGAAAGCCCUGGGCUCAACCUGGGAAUUGCAGUGGAUACUGGGCGACUAGAGUGUGGUAGAGGGUUGUGGAAUUCCCGGUGUAGCAGUGAAAUGCGUAGAGAUCGGGAGGAACAUCCAUGGCGAAGGCAGCUACCUGGACCAACACUGACACUGAGGCACGAAAGCGUGGGGAGCAAACAGGAUUAGAUACCCGAGUAGUCCCUGUCUCUUAUAC